RNAcentral lists this non-coding RNA (19 nucleotides) under Rattus norvegicus (Norway rat). Lineage: Eukaryota; Metazoa; Chordata; Mammalia; Rodentia; Muridae. The record is from RNAcentral.
UCGAAGGGUGCAGGAAUAU